Molecule: long non-coding RNA, 31133 nt
Filed under: Sorghum bicolor (sorghum)
Lineage: Eukaryota; Viridiplantae; Streptophyta; Magnoliopsida; Poales; Poaceae
Description: long non-coding RNA (SBIC_LNC014124)
Source: RNAcentral
CACCUCCACUCUAUCUCUCUCAAUCUAGUAGAAACUAGAACAUCUAUUUCUACCUUACAUUGGUUGCUAAACCUAAAAAGAAAUAUUAAUUAGAGGAGAGGUUUUCCUUCGAGGGCACCCCUCAAUCUCUAUGAUAAUUUCUUCAUGUCUUCUCCAGGGGCAGGGGGGUCUCCUUAUAUAGUCCUCCCCUUGUAUGCGUUUUUGGGUCGAUAGACGAGGUGGUACUAUGUUUUUCUUGAUCCAAUAGGUCGGUGGAACAUCCCGAGCGAAGAGAGUCCUGAAAGCAAUCCAGCAGGGGGCGGGCGCCCAGGUCCUCAGGGCGGGCGCCCUGGGCCUGGCCCCGUUUCGCCUCCGCUUCGGUCUCGUGGCUUCUGGAGUCUUCUAGAUGGUGUAAAAUCGUACGGUGCGUUGAUAUCUCUAUGUAAUCCCGACAUGUGGGCCUUUCUUCCUUAUUUCCUGAUAACCCCCUGCAGAAAUAGACAAACACCAAAACUCAUGGAAUUCUGUCAGAUAAAACCCUAAGUCUAGAUGUUGAUUUCAUUUGGAUCCUUUUCUUUGUUUAUUUGAUAAUUAAAUUUGAUACUUAAGGACCGUCAACAAGCUCCCCCAAGCUUACCUCUUGCUCAUCCCUGAGCAAGGAUAGACUCAGCAAUGGAUUAGAAGUUGUUGCAAUAUCUUUUAAAAAUUGACGGUACACAUGCUUUUAAUUAAGAUCUCAUCUCUGAGUUAGAGUAAACUGUCAAGAACUAAAACUUACUUACUUUACCUUUCACCAUGGGACUUGUAACCGUCACUUCUGUCUUAAGAGGUUAAAAGAUAGAACAGUCUAGCCAAGUGUCAUGUCUCUUAUUCUUGAUCAGCUAUAGCUCUGGGGUUUUUGCAGAUUUUCAAAUAAAACUCAGAGAUUCCUUGUAUGACUCUCUCAUAUCUCUCUUUUGUGGUAUUUCUGGAUCCUUACCAAGGCAUUGAUGGUAUAUGCCUUCUCUCAAGAUAUGUGGUAUUUGUGGUAUAAGGCAUUGCCUUCACUCUCACCCUACUCUAAUAAGGCUUGAUAUCUGGAGCUCAUAGGUGGGAGACAGCUAAUACAUACUUACAAGACAUUUAUUGCAUAGUCAAACCAUGGAUCCAGAGAAACAAAUCAAUAAGCCAAAUGAAGAUGUGCAUGUGUGGCGAAUGAAUGGUGUAUGGUGAUGAUGGUAAUAACAAUGGUGAAUGUCUAAUUCUACUUUUGCUCUUUUGAGGGGAUACAUACCUUCCUUGCUUUUUUUGAAACUUUAUGAGGAGAAUGAGAUGCUCUCUCUCUUUUUUUUCCUCUCAGGUGGGUAUCUUGUACCCCUAAUUCUACUGUCGGACACUUGUCCAUUUUUACCUCUCGUCUCACUUUUUCUUUCUUUCGAGGUUCCGGGCACUUGCCCCUUUUUAUUUCCUCGUUUAUAUAUAUUUUUUUUCUUCUCUUUUCUUUUUUUUCACAGCACUCAUCUCUUGAGAUAAUAUAGCAAGUGGUAGUAACCAAAAUAUUUGGAGCAUUUAUUUCACAGGGAAUAACAGGGAUAGGAAAAUGUUUUUGACUAUUCUCUCCCGGAUUAGGAGUAGAAUAUUUUUUGGUUAUUCUGGAGAUGGAAAUGGAUGGAUAUAUGUGGAUGGUACUUCCGGAGUAGAAGUAGCAUAUAUGAGUGAAUGUGCAAGUGAAUCUUGAUUUAACCACAUGACAAGUUCCUAAGGGUCUACACAGCUUGACCACACUCAAUGCUCAUAAGCAGUAAAUAGUAAAUGUGUGGCUCAAAGUCUAGCAAGCAUGUAUAUAUGGCAGUGGUAGGAAUUUAACUCUCAUCAUACAGGAACUCAUCAUGCAAUAUUUUAAAGAUUUUUCAAAGAUAAAAUUCUCCAGAAUUCUAGCAUCUCUAGGAACAGAUAAACAACAGCUCAACCUUCCCAUAUCAUAUCCGUUAACAACUUAGAUUUCAGAUCAAGUUUUCAUCGCACAAGUUUAGAUCUAGAGCAAGCUUUAAAUUAUAACAGUUAUGUCUAAACUUGAGAGGGAACUUGAAAAUUGCAAAUUAGGCAGAGCAACUAUUCAUCAUAUCCGUGCUAGAGUUUUAUUAUUAAGAUUCAGAUUAGCAUAGCCACUUUAUUUAUUUAUUAAACAUACUAAGCAAAAGAUAUAUAUAUAAGCACAAAAUCUUUAUUUUGUUUUUUCAUAGUUUAUGUAUUUUAAUAUUCUAACAUAAUAUAAGUAUAAAGGUAGGUAGAAAUACUUAGCGAGAAUAAUGGGGGUGCUCUCCCCCAAGCUGAGUUUUGACGUAAUUUCUCUUGAUGUAGCUAGCAGGUGGCAAAGGUGUAUUUGAAAGUCAGCAGCAUUCUGACAGCGAUUAGAAUGUCCUCCGUCUGCUAGUCUUCUUGAUUCUUAAAUUCUGUGGAGCUCAAAUAGACAACAAAGCUUGUGGAACUAAUUAAGUGUUAACAUAAAUAUCUAGCCUUCAUCAUGUUGAGCUUCCUUAAUAAAUGUUAUUUAUUUAGUAGGAUCAUACACUUAUUAUUAUUAUUAUUUUAUAUUUUUAUUGUAAGAUGAAAACUUAUUUAUUUUAUUUUUAUGCCACCACAGUGAAUGUACUUAUGGGUUUUAUGCCAUGAGCAUACUCACAUGGGGCUUACUAUUUAACAUUUUUAUUUUCUUUUCAAGAUAGCAUGAACCUGAUUAACUAGGCAAAUUGAAAGAAAAGGGUAACUACCAAGUUUACCUCUUGGUAAGGCGUUCAGUAUUUUUAUGUCCUCCGAACGGGACUCUCUGUUUUCUCAGUCAUCCUGGGAUUCGCUAGGUGGCGUAGUCGGUGAUUCCGGCGGCGCCUCUCUUCGUGUAUAACUAUCUUCUCCCUCCACACCUGACUCGGUGCUACGGUCUCCUCAGGACAGUUCUGUUCAAGCUGUAUGUCUUCAGUCCUUAUCACUUUUCCUUCGUAGUCUACCCAUCCGUUCUUGAUGAUUUGCCUCCUCUGGUUGCGGUUGCGUCGUCUUCUUGUCCUGACCUGCUUAGAGUCUUCAACUAUAUAGUUAUGGUCAGUAAAAUAGUUGCGUACCUUCUCAGAGGGGAAGUACAUGUGGACUUCUCCGGUUCCAAUGUAGAUGAUUGCUUUGAUAGUGUUGAGGAACGGUCUUCCAAGGAUGGUGGGUGGAUCAUAUUCAUCUUCUCCCAUGUCAAUGACCUGAAAAUUAUCUGGAGCUGAAUAUAUUGGUUGUAGGGGCAUGGUUCCAUGCAGGAGCUGAUAAAUGACUGCGGCCAUUAUGUUGUCGUCAGAUCCGGUGUCGUAGAUUGUCUUCUGAAAAGAGUAUCCAUUGAUUGCGCACUCGAUGCUUGGAACACCAGGGUCGUCCUUCUUGAUCAAGAAAGGUGACUUGAGUCGACGAUGUUGACCUCUUCCGACAAGGAUCCAAUGUUUUAAGUCUUCUGGACAAGACUUUCCACCAUCUUCAUCCUUUAGGUGCAUCAUUUGAUUGGGUGUGGACCUUGACGUCUGCACCUCUUGAUACGGUGUCACCCAUGUUCUUCUUUGCCCAGCAGUUCGAAGUACGGUGUUGGCAAUAUCCUGCUCAGUGUGUUUGUGCUCAUAGAUCCAGGUCCUUCACUUGGUGGAGUCUGGGAGUUGUAAAACUCCUCCAUGUUUUGCUUGAAGUGUACUUGUUCAUAGAGACAAGGCAGAGAUCAAGUGCAUGGGCUCUGUUGGUGGAAAACACCAACAGAACCAAAAGUGUAUUUGUUCUUCUCUAACCUUAAGCAUAGUGAGCAAGACAAAGUUGAUGGAUAAUAAGAUCAUGAGUGUAGUAUUUGAAACAUUUGUCAGAUCAGAUGGCUCAACCUAAUGGAAAGAUAAUCUAUCUAUAUUUAUGUUUUGUUUAUAUCUUCCAAACAUUGAAUGUGCAACAUAUUAGCUUAUAUGUUUAGGAGCGUGGGAUCAUGAAGGUAGUACUAAGAACAAAGAUUAAAGGACUAAACAUGUUGAAUUAAUUGAGUUGGUUAAUCUGGAGUUAUAAAUCCUACAUGUUUGUCUCUUUAUUUAUGUGAAUGCUAGAACCAAGGAGAAGCUUAUAAAAGCGAUAGUCAAGUACCAUAAGGUGUUACCUUACUUGAAGAGUGACGGUACAGUAUCACCUUGUGGAAGCUUUCCUUUCUUAGCGGUUGUGCAUCGUGUUUGUGACACCCUUCAUGAAUCAUCUCUUAUGAGCCACGUCUUUCCUGUGCAAAUUGUUAAACUUCAUGUGUCACUUUCUUCAUCUCCAAUGCGAGUUUAUCUCAGGACUUCCCAGGUUGAUAUUGAAAGUUUUCCUACAGGGGUUAGUCCAACAAAAUAUCCCAUAUCUACUAUAGCAUACUAUCGGCUUAAAAAUCAACCUAGACACCAUGUCUAAUUUGAUUUAGAAGGGCAUUUUAACCUAAGCACCAUGCUUAAUUUAAAAUCCCUUGGAAGUAAGAUCAUCAUUCCUAAACUAAGCACCAUGCUUAAUUAAGAGAUAAAUGAAACUAUUCCAAACCUAGACAUAUACUAAAGCAAAUAAAGGUAGCAUGAGAGCAUUUAUAGAGAUCUACUUAAGUGGAGAUGAAGUAGUGUAAUUAGUAUUUAACAAAUUGAUCAUGUCUCAAAGGUAAGGACAACCAACGUAGCAACAUGGCAAAAGAUGUUUUUAUGUAAAGUACUCCCCCAAGCUUGAAUUUUACAAAAUUCAAGUUUGGAUGAAUUUAAUUCAAUGUUGUGUGAUGGUUGGUUGGACAUACCCUGUGCUUGUCAUUCAUCCGAUCUUCUUGCUCCAAUCCUGGAAAGGUUAGUGACAAGAAUACCCGAAGGAAUAUUUCUGCAAUUAUCUUUCAAUACACAAGGCAAUGUUGCAAAUAAUUAGAAGUUCAUGUUAUGAUCUGAUAAGUGCUUGUUUUAGGACACUAAGCUUGUUCUUGGGAAACCAUCAAGUUAUGUUGGUGAAGUGGUUUCCCCUCCAACACCUACCUAUAUCAAGAUCGAGAUCUGCAAUAUUUAUUAUAGACAUAUACAUCGACAACCGCCCUUUUAAAGUUUUUAUAAACGAAGAGGAAAAGGGGGUUGGAGAUCUCAAAUGUGGUAAGGAUGGAGAGACAAAUUGAUUGGAGAGAUGUUUUAUAUGAGCAAGGACUGGGUGAGGUAUUUAUGAAAUAACUUCCAUGCUCACAGUUGUUUCUCUCAAACUCCAAGGAUGAUUCUUCAUGAAUGCUUAAAAUUCCUCUAAGAUUGUCUCUCAAGUUUGUUUUAUCUAUCCAUUCAAUGGUGAUAGCACAUGGAUUUUUAAUGCCCUCUAGCCAUUGAUGUUGCUUUUCUCGAUCCUCCUUCUUAUGCAUGGGAUGUCUAGAGAGAUUCAUAGGAUUAUCGGGAGGUUCAAGAGAAAAAGCAUAGUAGAAAUUAUUAAACUCAAGGAUGGGUUGGAUAGCCGAAUUAUGGGAUUGAAAUGUUUGGAAAUCGGCUAUUGAAACUUCCUCUCCUUGUAUGGGAGAUGAUUCCUUCUCUAUCUCUAAGAUUUUUCUAUGAAGACUAGUGCAAGAAGGGUGUCUACGAAUGAAGACAUACCUUCCUUUACUAAUAGAUAAAGAAAGAAAGACUCUACCAAAGGUUAUAUGAUUAAGACCAAUGUGAAAAUAUCUAGGAAAAACAUGGUCUUGUAGGGCUAGGUCUAAACCAGAAUUUAUAGAAAGAUUAAAAGAUUCCCUAGGUGUAGCUAAAAGUGCAUUAUCUUUUUGAUUAAAAGAUAGGACCUCAGCUAUAGAAAAGGGUUGGUUUUGACCUAUUGCAAUCAACUCCGGACACAGAUCAUAAUUAGGGGCAGGACGUGUUGACUCCCAUGGUCUAUGGCUGGUCUCCGAAGGUGCAAAGAAUUCAAUAAUAGGUAUGGAAUUUGAGUUAUCCAUAAAGAUAAAAAUAAAAAGAUAAAAGAAUAAAAGUAUAAAAGUAUAAUACAAGAUAAUAGCAAGACUCAAAGUUAUCUCAGCAAACCGUCUUUCUCCCCGGCAACGGCGCUAGAAAUGCUUGUUGAUAUUUGGUAACGCAAUUAGAAAAUGAUCCGCAAGUGCACGGAUAUCGGUGAGCAUUUCACCCGGGAGGUUAUCCAGAGUUAUCGUAUUUAUAUUUUUACCACUGGGAGAAAGGGUGCAUCUGACUAACCAAAUCUAUUGCUACUAUCCCUUUAGGCACAAAGAAUGUCUUUCGAUGUGAGUGAUAAAUAGAGAAGACUGCAACCGUAGUCUCCUUCUAACCUUGGUAAGGGUGAUCUAUUGUUCUAUUGGGGAGGCUCACGGAAUCUAGACAACACAAAGGAUGUUCGACCCGCACCUAUAAACCCUAUCCUUCCUGCUAACGAGAUGUGAUCUACAAAGGUAGCUCAGAAUUGUCACGUUCCUCACUACUACCACGGUCCAGCUAGUCAGGGAAUAUCUAUGAGUACCCCAGCCUAAACACCACGUUUACGCCAGCAAUGAUUACUAUAAACUCUACGCGAAGAGAUUAAAGUAAACACAUAAACCAUAAGAACAAUAAAACAAGAACUUACUAGAAUUUAGAAGUCGAAUUACUGAAGAAUCCUAGGAGCAAGCUUCGGGUUAGGAGAACUUGAUCCCGCAGGUACAAGCUUGGAGUAGACACCGACAGGCCGGGCUUCCUCCAAUCUACACCUCCACUCUAUCUCUCUCAAUCUAGUAGAAACUAGAAGAUCUAUUUCUACCUUACAUUGGUUGCUAAGCCUAAAAAGAAAUAUUAAUUAGAGAAGAGAUUUUCCUUCGAGGGCACCCCUCAAUCUCUAUGAUAAUUUCUUCAUGUCUUCUCCAGGGGCAGGGGGGUCUCCUUAUAUAGUCCUCCCCUUCUAUGCGUUUUUGGGUCGAUAGGCGAGGUGGUACUAUGUUUUUCUUGAUCCAAUAGGUCGGUGGAACAUCCCGAGCGAAGAGAGUCCUGAAAGCAAUCCAGUAGGGGGCGGGCGCCCAAGUCCUCAGGGCGGGCGCCCUGGGCCUGGCCCCGUUUCGCCUCCGCUUCGGUCUAGUGGCUUCUGGAGUCUUCUAGAUGGUGUAAAAUCGUGCGGUGCGUUGAUAUCUCUAUGUAAUCCCGACAUGUGGGCCUUUCUUCCUUAUUUCCUGAUAACCCCCUGCAGAAAUAGACAAACACCAAAACUCGUGGAAUUCUGUCAGAUAAAACCCUAAGUCUAGAUGUUGAUUUCAUUUGGAUCCUUUUCUUUGUUUAUUUGAUAAUUAAAUUUGAUACUUAAGGACCGUCAACACAUACAAAUGCGGCAAAUGGUUCAUGAGCUUGCCCCCCCUAUUUGUGUGCUCAAGUUUUAAUUUAUCCCUUUCUAUUUUCAAAAAUUUUCUUUCCCCCUUAAGCACUUUUCUCCCCCUUUAUGACUUAUCUUUGUUUCUCUCCCCCUUUGUCAUCAAUGACCACAAAGGUUAAAUUUUUAGUGAGAAUUAAGUCAAUCAAUGUGAGGGUCAAAUUAUGGUUCAAUCUUGAUUACUUGCCUAGAUCAUGUAAUUCGGUUUGAUCCAAGGACAAGCUUUUUCACACCUCAUAAAGUAUAAGGGUUAUCUUGACCAUGUGGAAUAACAUACCAUAAGCUUAUAUUCUAGAUUCAACACUAGGCUUGCAAACUCACAAAAAUGUCAUAUGCUACCACUAGAUCAAUCAAUCAUAGGAACAAUAGUGGUACCAUACAUACAUCAAAUUCUAUUGAUUUUUAUGAAUGAGCCUAUUGUCAUGCAAACAUGUCUAUAUGUUUUAAUCAUGUCCUUAGUGAAGUAUGAAUGCCAUAUCAACCAUCUUUACCUUGCUUUGUUGGAGGAGAGGCAUGUCAUAUAUAUAUAUGUGUGGCUGCACUUAUCUCAAGUUGGAGAAGUCAAGUAUGUUGAAUUCAUUUCUCAACUUGCAAAAUCUCUUCUCAUCAAGUGGCUUUGUGAAGAUGUCGGCUAGUUGAUCUUCGGUGCCAAUGCUUUCAAUGCUAAUAUCACCCUUUUGUUGAUGGUCUCUUAUGAAAUGGUGCCUUAUAUCAAUGUGCUUGGUUCUUGUGAUUCCAAAGUCAUUCAAGGUAGCUUUCAUCCAAAGCAAUUGUGCACAACAACUACCGGCACUAAUGUAUUCCGCCUCGGUGGUUGAUAGUGCAACACUAUUUUGUUUCUUUGACGACCAUGAAACUAGAGACCUUCCUAGCAAUUGAUAAGUACCACUUGUGCUCAUUCUAUAAAUCUUGCAUCUACAAUAGUCGGAGUCCAAAUAUCCAAUCAACUCAAAGUUAGCCCCUUGGGAUACCAUAAUCCAACAUCAUGAGUGGCCUUGAGAUACCUCAAUAUUGUUUUGGUUGCCUUCAAGUGACUCUCUCUAGGUGAAGCUUGGUAUCUUGCACAUUUGCACACGCUAAACAUCACAUCUGGCCUUGAUGCGGUGACAUAGAGUAAACUUCUAAUCAUGGACCAAUAUAGCUUUUGAUCUAUCAUGUUGACACUAGCAUCAUUACCUAAUUGAUCAUUUGUGCCCAUAGGUGUGCUCAUUGGUUUAGCUUCUUGCAAUCCAAACUUCUUGAUCAUGUCCUUGAUGUACUUGCCUUGACUCACAAAAGUGUCAUUCUUCAUUUGCUUGAUUUGAAGACCAAGGAAGUAACUAAGCUCUCCUAUCAUGGACAUCUCAAACUCUUUUGCCAUCAUUUUUCCAAAUUCUUCACAAAAAUCGUGAUUGGUUGAUCCAAAGAUGAUAUCAUCAACAUAGAUUUGCAACACGAACAAGUCAUUGCCUAGUUUCUUGGUGAAGAGGGUAGUGUCAACUUUUCUCAUCUUGAAACCUUUAGAGAGAAGGAAAUCUCUCAAUCUCUCAUAUCAUGCUCUAGGUGCUUGCUUCAAACCAUACAAUGCCUUCUUGAGCUUGUAAACAUGGUUAGGUUUCUUGUCAUCUUCAAAACCAGGAGGUUGUUCAACAUAAACCAACUCAUUGAUGUAUCCAUUGAGAAAUGCACUCUUCACAUCCAUUUGAUAGAGCUUGAUGUUGUGGUCACAAGCAUAGGCUAAUAAUAUUCUAAUUGCCUCCAAUCUUACAACCGGUGCAUAUGUUUCUCCAAAGUCAAGACCUUCAACUUGAGUGUAGCCUUGUGCUACAAGUCUUGCUUUGUUUCUCACAACUACACCAUCUUGAUCUUGCUUGUCUCUAAAGACCCACUUGGUACCAAUCACAUUAUAGUUCUUUGGCCUCUCAACAAGCUCCCACACUUGAUUUCUUGUGAAGUUAUUCAAUUCAUCAUGCAUGGCAUUUACCCAAUUAGAAUCUUUCAAUGCAUCUUCUAUCUUCUUUGGUUCCUCAAAUGAGACAAAUGAGUAGUGCUCACAAAAAGAUGCUAGCCUUGAUCUUGUUUGCACACCACUUUGAAUACCACCAAUGACUUGAUCUAAUGGAUGAUCCUUGCUAUGCUUGUACGUUGGAGUAUUGGGAGUUGAUUGCUUCCACUUGCUUGAAUUUGAUUUUGAUCAUCAUCAUGACAGCCACUAGUACUAGCUUGAUUUGUAUCAAUUUGCACUUCUUGAUUGAUCAUGUGAGUGUCAUUAUCAUCAUCAACUUGCCUUAGCCUUAUGUCACCAACAUCUAUGUUCUUCACUGCAUUUGCUAAUUGAUCUCCUCUCACAUCAUCAAGAUUUUGAGCUUCACUUUGAGAUCCUUCGGUUUCAUCAAACUCAACAUCAUGAACUUCUUCUAAUGUGCCACUUGCCAAGUUCCAAACUCUAUAUGCCUUGCUUGUGGUGGAAUAACCAAGUAAGAAACCUUCAUCACAUUUCUUCUCAAACUUGCUCAAUCUAGUGCCUUUCUUGAGAAUGUAGCAUUAGCAACCAAACACUCUAAAGUAUGCAAUGUUGGGCUUUCUUCCAUUCAAUAGCUCAUAUGGUGUCUUCCCAAGCUUUCCAUGGCAAUAUAGAUGGUUGCUACAAUAGUAAGCCGUGUUGAUAGCUUCACUCCAAGAUGAAUUACUAACAUUGUAUUUGUAAGCAUUGAUAUGGCCAUGUCAAUCAAGGUUCUAUUCUUCCUUUCAACUACACCAUUGGAUUGAGGAGUGUAUGUUGGAGAUAAUUGAUGUCCAAUGCCAAGAUCAUCACACAAUUCCUCAAUUCUUGUGUUCUUGAAUUCACUACCAUUAUCACUUCUAAUCUUCUUGAUAGUGGUUUCAAAUUCAUUUUGCACAAGCCUCAAUUCACUACCAUUAUCACUCAAUUGUUCAAUUGUUUCAUUCCAACAUGACCAAGCCUUCUAUGCCACAACCAACCCAAACUUGAUUUUCCAAUUAGGCAAGAUGUCAAUUGAGUGUCACUAUAAUUGAAAUCAACCAAGUAUAAGCUACCAUGUCUAAAUCAUUUGAAUAUCAAGUUUGAUCCAUCAAUACUAACCACCUCAACAUCAUCACUACCAAAGAUGCACUUGAAACCAAAGUCACAAAGUUGUGCAAUUGACAAGAGAUUGAAAUCAAGGCUCUCAACUAGCAACACAUUUGAUAUGCUCAGGUCAUUUGAGAUAGCAAUUUUACCAAGCCUCUUGACCUUGCCUUUCUUGUUGUUGCCGAAGUUGAUUGAAUCAAAGCCACCAUUUUGACUAGUAUCAAUUGAUUUGAACAUACAAGACUCUCCGGUCAUAUGUUGAGUGCACCCACUAUCAAGAACCCAAUGCCUUCCUCUGGCUUUGUAAUUGACCUACAAGACAAGAUCAAUUCUUUUUAGGUACCCAAAAUUAAUUGGGCCCUCUAAGGUUAGCAACUAAGCUCUUUGGUACCCAAAUGGCUUUCUUCUUUCAGCCCAUCCAUGGUGCACCAUUGAACUUAGCAUGAACACCUUUUGUAUCCUUGGUAAGCACAUAAAAAGAAUUAAGCUUAACUGAUGAUACAUUAGCUUUGGAAUUCUUGUUCAUGCACUUUUGCUCUAGGUGACCGACUUGCUUGCAAGCUUUGCAAUACUGGCCAUUGUUCUUCACAAACUAGUCUUGUGAGGAGCAAAGGCAGCCUUGCCUUUCUUGGGAUUAUAGCCUAAUCCCUCUUUACAGAGAGAAACUUGUAACACCCCAGUGUUAUGGUUGCAUCAACCACAUGCAUAACAUGAGGAUCAUCAUCUAAUCAAGCAUAUCAUGAUCAUCAAUUACCUUGGGUCAUGUAAUUUUGUGCAAAAAUGUGAUUUAACUUGUUUAGUUAUGCUUCCUAUGCUUGUGUUUGUUGGUACCAUGCUCUUGUUUGUGCUCUAUGCCUUGGUAAUUAGUUUAUCUAUGCUUAACUGAACCUUAGGAGCAAUGUUCAUGUUGAUCACUUCUCCAAAAUAAUCACUUAAGUCAUACUUUCAUGUAUAGGCCCUAGAAACCUCCUUUGCUUAGGCUUUUAAAAAGUGUUCCAUAAAUUGUUUGCAUGUCAAAACUUUCUAUAGCAAAGUUGUAGAAUAUUUUAUAAGGAACCAAAGUUGUUUUAUGUCCAUCUCAUGAAAAUGACCACAUCUUGCUCAAAAAGUGCUUGCAAGGCAGUUUUGGGUGCUGUUUUAGCACUUAGCCAAAUUUGGCUAAGUCCAGACGACACCAGUUUGCUCGAUCGAUAUUGGAAGCUUCAUAUCUCUCAAUCCAUGCCGAUCUGGCUCUUGCUCUAGUUGACAAUGUUGUAGAACGCAGCUAGUACUUCAACUUUGUCAACUACACCAUCUCCUAAUUCGCUUUGGUUCGGGAGAUAAUCGCUGUCAAAGUCGCUUUGUCAGACGACCAUCGCCAUGUCUGAAUCGAAGCCGAGCUCGUCGACGUGGCCGACCGGCGACAGAACUAUGGCGACAUUUGGCGCCCGUACGUCGUUCCUAGCCCCGCUCGUCAGCUCCCAGUGCGCGCAUGACCUCCACGGCGACACCCUGGAUGCAGUGGACGCGUCCAUUCUCUCCUCCGUCUCGCUCUCUCGCUAGAAAAGCGGCCGCAGCGAGCUCACCGUCGCGGGCUCACUCCGGCGAGCUCAAACGUGCUCCUCGCUGCAUUGCUGCCCACCAAAACUCGCCCACAGCUCCGCCGUGACCCGCUCUCCAUCCUCCAUCCGCAAACUCGCCGUGAAACCCUUUGGUGUGCCGACAUUUCCGACUUCCCCCAAAUCUAGUCGCCGUGACCUUCUUCUCCGGCGAACUCAAUGCUGAGCUCCUUGGAGCCUCUCGUCUUCUCUAGUUAGGUCCUAGAGGUAGCUUAGGUCUUUAGCGAAUGUUUGCGCCACUUGGUGGACGCUCUACCGCACUCACCGUCGCCGGACACGACGCGCAGCGCCGCCGUGUUUCCGUCGGAGUUCGGCUCUCUCAUGGCCAGCUCAUUCCACACCGUUCACUGGUGUUGUAGGAAACCCUAGGUCGCGCUCUACCGGCCUGAGAGCUCCGGCGUAACGCCGAGCACCUCCGCCGAGCCGCCGUGGUCGACGGCAAGCCAUUUUCCGGUGGCUCCGCCGUGGGGAAAAGGCGGUCACUCGGUUCGCAAGGGUCUGGGGAUCACGUUGGUGCCCUUGGUUUGGCCGGAUACCUCGCCGUCGCGGAGAAAUCGCCGGUGAAAGUCGUCUCGAUCGUGAGGAAGACGACCCUGACACGCGGGACCCGCUGUCAGUGACACAUCGUUUCCCUCCUUUUCUUUUAUUCAAAUCCAGAUUUUUGGCAUUCUUGCAAAAAUUAUAUCUUCUGUUUCUGUGAUCCAAAAAUUGUGAAACAAAUUUUGUGAUGUUCCUUGAGAUGGCUAGUUUUUAUAAAAAUAUAACAUGCACCAUGUUUUUUGGGAAAAAUAAUUGUUAUGAUUUAAUCUUGUUAUUUAUGUAUAAAUUCAUAUCUGUUGAUAUACUGCUCCUUUUGUUAUGAAAAAUUUAUGCUAGCCCCUGAGUGGCAUGAGUAUGCUAUGAUAAAUAUUUCAUGAUUUUUGGAGUAAUGUAUCUGUGAUAUGUAAUUUAUGUUUGUGAUAUGUCUUGUUUUCUUACUUAAAUGAUAAUAAUUAAUUGGUGCCUAUGCUGGUGCUCUACUCUAGUGUCAAACUUGUUUAUGGUAAUAGUCACAUGUAAAUAAUCUGAAAUUGUUUGACACUAUCUAAGCUAUGUUUCUUAAUUUAUGAAAUAAGCACCUGACACAUGUUAAAUGCUUAUCUCAAAUUUGGCGGGUGCAAUUGUUCUGAAAAUUUUAUGGUAAUGUCAAGAUGAUAUGCUUGUGCUUGCGUAAUUUUUGUAGAUGUUUCUGAGCACUUUUGCUGGUAUCUUGUAAAUAUGUCCUUUUAUGGAAUUAAUUUAAUAAAUAUCAUGUUAUUAUAUGUUUAGUGGUUAACAUGUGAUGUUUCUGGUAAUCUUGUAGUAUGCUAGUGCUUAUAAGCUAUGUGGUUGACACUAAUUAUGUUUUGGCUAUGUAAUUAAACAAUUAAGUAAAGGGUUAAAAGCUGUUCUGGACAGCAAGGGAGUAAUCUAACCUUUGCUUGAUGAUAACUUGGUUUGCUGGAAGACUUGUCUAGAUCAAAGUUGUUGUAAACUUUAUGAACUAGCUGUGGUUUAAUUUUGGGAUCAUUUGGUCCAAUAGUUUAAAAGUUAUAGCUCUUUCAAGUUGGAUUCUAGAAAUAGGUGUUCUCUGUUUUUCUGGGACAGAACCUGGAACUUUGUUUAAAUGACUUAUUUAACUUAUGAAUCUUGCUAUGAUGUCUAAAGAUGAAAUGUAGAAAAUUUCAUAAGCUUUCCAGAAUGUCCUCAUUCAUGAUUGUUGGAUCUGUAUAACUCCAGUUAUGAUUUAUUCCUUGAGCUGCACUGCUACGUUGGUCAUUGCUGUUUGUUGUUUAACUUGGUAAUCUUGCUAAGUAGUUAAUCAUCUUGCACGAACUUAUUAUAAAAGUUACUCCAUAAAUGAGUGUCCAGUGAGUCUAAUUACGUUAUCGAGCAUUCAUCCUUUUAGUAUGCACACAUUCUUAUUCAUCGUGCAUGCAAUAGGUGCACCGGAAACGACCGCUGCGUUCGAGCUCCAAGUGAACCCCGAGGGCCAAGAGAUCAACCCGGAGGUGGAGGUCCAGCAAGCCGGACACGAGAAGCCCGAAGAAGAGAUUGAGUGCCCGAAUCACGAGCCUGCAUCGUUCGUGAAAGGCAAGCCCCGGAGCAUCUUAAGUCUCCCACUUUAAUUUCGAAAGUUUACUUGAUUAUGUUAUAUCUAUUGAUGCAUUACAUAUAGGAGUUGUGAUGAAACCCUUGCUGUAUUUUACUCAUUCCUUGUCCAGAUAUCUUACCAUUACCUGGUCAUAGAGUUAGGAUCGAGUAGCAGCUUAGUCAUGCUUUAAUCGGUAGAAGUCGGGUGAUAUCCUGUCACCUGUGCGAGAUAGGGUUGUGUCGGAUCACGAUUGUCUAUAUGUGCUAUCGUGGAAAGAACCUGAUUAAAAUGACUUAAGCCGGGCGGAGUUUUGCAAGGUUGUAGUAACUCCGUCUGUGGCAGCUAAGGACCGAUCGUUGUACGUCCUCUUGUCAUGUUGAACGCAUGCCUGACACUUAGUUGGCCGGAUAACUCGUUCCGACCGCGAAGCCUAGUAGUAUGACUCAGGCCGGAAGACCGGUAAGUAUAAAGUGCGCACUACCGGAGGAAUUGCGGUGUGCGGGGGACUAUUGCCGUAGGACCAAAGGCAGGUGAGUUAAAAGUCCUGACCUCCCUGGCAGAGUGGUAGCCCUAGGAGUGCGGCGCUUAUCGGAGCCGCGAUUCCUGAGUCGUACCAAAGGUGACUGUUGACGGUCCUUAAGUAUCAAAUUUAAUUAUCAAAUAAACAAAGAAAAGGAUCCAAAUGAAAUCAACAUCUAGACUUAGGGUUUUAUUUGACAGAAUUCCACGAGUUUUGGUGUUUGUCUAUUUCUGCAGGGGGUUAUCAGGAAAUACGAAAGAAAGGCCCACACGUCGGGAUUACAUAGAGAUAUUAACGUGCCGCGCAAUUCUCUUACAUCUAGAAGACUCCAGAAGCCACGAGACCGAAGCGGAGGCGAAACGGGGCUAGAGGCAGGGCGCCCGCCCUCCUGCCCUGGGUGCCCGCCCCCUCCGUGAGUCCAAUCAGGACUCUGCUUCGUGGCAGAUCUCCACCGACCUAAAGGAUGAAUCUAAACCAUACAAUCUAUGUCGGUUUGAUCCAACGGCCCAUAUUCACUUGAAGGGACUAUAAAACCAGACCCCCUAGCCCCUGGAGGAGAGAGCCUCUCCACCCUAAUUCAUUGUUCCUCAAGGGAGAAGAAGCCUCUGAUCAAGAUUAGGGCCACCACAUCAAUUAGAUAUCUAGAUUAGCAUAGCUACAUAGAAUUAGAACUACAAGGAGUCAAUCUUCGAUUGGUUUCUGGAUCUGUCAGGAGGAUUCUUGGUAAUUCUCUAAUUGUGCAUCUAAUUGCUUUCUAAUUAUCUUUGUUCUUCAAUAUUAUGAAUAUGACUUUGUUCUACUUCAAUAUAUUGCUUAUGACUUUGCUCUACUUACUUAUAUUCAAGAUUAUAUUGUUCUUAGUUUAUUAUAGUUAUGUACUUGGCUUAGUUAGAUUGGAUCUAUAUACAUGCUUAGCAUCGUAUAGCGUUUAUCCAUCGGAUCCAUGGGUAAAUGAUAGAUAUUAUGUAGGCGUGGUGCUUAUACCGUAUUUAUCUGCGAUUGUACCCAAUAUGCCAGAUCGUGGGGUAGUUCGUGAUAGUGACAGCUUCAUUGAUUCUUAUAUAGUCCCCCUCUCGUGUAUUGGGCUGACAGAGCAACAUUGUUAUAGGGGAGUGAUUGCUAUGUUUCUCAUUUACCUUGCUAAUAUCACUAUGCAUGGGCGUAGUCUUGUCUCGCAAUGAUUGCUAAGUAUGCUUGCACUAACUAUGAUAAUGCUAGACUAUAUAGUUGAGAAUAACUUAGGGAAUAUUCUUAUAGUUCGUUCUAAUACCAUGCUAAUGACUUUCUAGAGUAUCUAAUUGAGGUGCUUAUCAUAUUUAUUAUGUGGCUGAUCAGAUUAAUUACCUUUGUCACUAUUCAUUAACUCAUAUAUCUUUUAUGUGACACUUAUCCCUGUAUGAAGAGUUAGAUAAAUGUUCUCAGUUACAUAUGCAAUGAUAGAUACUCAAUCUCAUAUUCUAUUCUGUAAUCAAUAGUGAUGAUUGUUAAUCCCUUCCCAGUGGUAAAAAUAUAAAUAACAAUACCUGGAAUACUUCCUGGUUAAAAUGCUGCAUCGGUAUUAAUCUGUGCGCUUGCAGAUCCCAUUCAUUAUUUAUUUAGAAGAGCAAUUGCAUAUUUCAAUACCCCGUCUCUUAUAUCAUGCUGGGGAUGACAACUUGGCUUAAGUGGUGUGAGGGAUAGGUUUGGCAUUUUUGGCACUGUUACUAGAUUUAGAACUUAGUCUACUUUUGGUAAUGAUGUUAAGAGUACCCAACAAGCAUUUUUGGCGCCGUUGCUGGGGAAGGUUGAUUACUAAUCAGGAAUGGAAUAAAGGAUUUUGAGUUAUCAUUCGCAUCACUAAUAUGAUUGAGCUUAUCUAUUCUCUCAUAUAGUUUUACCCCGAUAUUUUUCUAUUUUAUCUUAUGCAGGGGAAUGUAUGAAUAGAAGACAUCUUCCAGGAAAUUUUGUUGACAAUCCCAAAGCAUUAUUCAAGAAGACGAGAGCCAAGCUCAAGAAGAGAUCAUCAACACUUCAGCAAGAAGCUUCAUCCAAUCAAGAAGUGUCGGUGUUUUCCCCACGGGGGGUCACACCAACGAGUAAAUUUGUAUGCGUGCUCCCUUUCCCAGAUGGUGAUGCAAGAACACACAAAGAUUUAUCCUGGUUCGGGCAAGAGGAAGCCCUACGUCCAGCGGGGGGGAAGUCUGUAUUAUCUUGCACCUAAGUGCUCGUACAGGGGUGAAUACAAUCAUGAUAUGGAGUGUGUGAGCUCUACUGCGUAUGGUCUCGCCCCUGUUCUAUUCCUGAGUCCCCCCUUUUAUAGCACCAAGGAGAGACCUAGGAUACAUGUAUAGGUGUCAGAAUAGGAGUCGAUAGCAGCAUGGAGCGCUGACCUACUCGAGGCUUCUGUACCGGCAUGGCCUCGAGCCAUCCCGUCUUGAUAGCCUGGUGAUUAUUACGCGUGCCCCUGCAUUCUGCUCUGCGCGCCGUCUUGUGUUGGGUCAAUGGUCGCACGCUUGUACGGUAUGGCGGCAGAUCCGACGGGGUGGUUGUGGUGUUAUCAGUCGACGCCCAACUUGUCCCCAGGAUGGAACCCUGUUCGGUCGAGGGUCGGACGCCGUGUAAUGUCCUGAUAUCGGAGCGCUGACCUUGGUUACCUUCGAGGGGUCUUGAUUUGACAUUCCAUCCCCGCUUCCCACGUCCUGACACGGCCUGGGUCGUUUGGUGGGAAGGCUGCAAAAAGAACGAUGGGACAGAUGCCUGUUCCCUAUCGCACCUCCCGUGACCUGUGUGUUAGGUGGGGAAGCGUCAGGCGCAUUUAAUGCUCCGGCUCGCGUGCGCGCGUCGGGCGGCGGGGGCGUCCUUGCGCUCGACGCCUCCCAGUUCAUGUGAGCCUGUUUCCGUAUUCGACGGCAGCUUGCGCUCGACCCCUGAUCGAUUCGCUCGACGCUAUUUCCGUCUUCGAGGUUGUGGACGUCGAAGGCUGCGUGUACGCAUGGCCAGAGCUUCGAGUCGAGGGCCUCAUCCUGCGUAUGGAUAGUCUUGUUAUGCGCAUUGGUGAGGGUACCCCUUAUUGAUACCCUCGACAGUAGCCCCCGAGUCUCCGUUCGAGCGCUGGCGCUCGAGUGGAGACUUGUACCCUCGGGUCGAGCUUCCGUGGGGGCACGCGAGCGACCCCGCGGGGGUAGCCCCCGAGCCCUUGAAGGAGUUUUUGACUCCUUCGAGGGUUAUAUUGCCUAGUUUGUAGAAACGCUAUCGACACUAGUGGUGGUAGGUUCUAAUUGGCUCGUUUUACGUGGAGGUUUCGACGUACUCUCGAUAGAGCGAGCGUCUUCCCCCCAAGAUUGAGUUCCUAGCGGGUAGUCCAAGUGAGAACCUGUGCCCUUUUCGAGGGGGUUAGCUGUAGCCCGGAGGCGUUCUCAUAAAGCAGGGUCGACGUGGUCGGGGAUACCGGUCUCAUUCGAUAGAGUCCAGCGGCUCGAUGCCUCCCGUCGGGGGGAUUCCUCUCGACUGUCUCGACUCUACCUUGGACAUCCCCAGCGAGUCUUCGAGGCAGGCCUUGAUCUUAGACCGCUCGAUGGAGAUCCCUGACUCCGGUGCUCGAGAUCUGCUGUCGAACCCUUUCGGUGGGCCAGCCUGCGACCUCUCGAGGCUUUCGCGGGUACGCCCCUUGGCUUACAAGGGAAGGAAGUGGCCGUGGCGGUUCGCCUUUUUGCCCGUUGGGCGCGCCUUUUUAGGCGGAUGACGUUACGACACUGCGUCGGCGUGGAAUUCGGAGCGCCCCGCCUGUGAAGGGGGAAAGACUGUUAGGUGGCGCAUUUAUGGGGGGACGUUACCUCAUUUCUCGGAUCCGUCCGUUGGCGGAUCGUUGCUUAUAAAUACGCUGUGGCACCACCGCUGUUCUUUCUUCCGCCUCCCAUCUUCACUCUUGCCUUAGCCUUUUUGCCGUCUUAGCUUUCUCGCCGUCUCACGCGCACAAGCCUCCUCGAGCAGUAGUGGAUCCACCGUCCUUCCAGCCGAGAUGCCUGUGAGACUCGUUGCCGCUGACGAGUGGCACCCGUCGUUGAUGAAGGAGCGCCGGUUGUUAGAGCUUGAGAGAGAGGGACUGCUGCGCCGCCGUACCUCGCUAUCGUCGCCCGAGUGGAUCGCGCCGCCGGCGAACCACAGGGAGCCCCAACCGCCCGAGGGCUACGUGGUGUCAUUCGCCAAAUUCCACCGCCACGGCCUGGGUGCUCCUUCGAGCCGCUUUAUGCGGGCACUUUGCCUCCACUACGGGGUGGAGCUUCAGCACUUUUCCCCGAACGCCAUCACCGUCGCGGCGGUCUUCGCUGCCGUGUGUGAGGGCUACUUGGGGAUGAUGCCGCACUGGGAGCUGUGGCUCCACCUCUACAGGGGCGAGCUUUUCCACGCCCCCACCGGAACCACGGGUGUAAGGAAGCUCGUGCGGGCGGGAUGCCUCAAUCUUGUGCAGAAGACGGGGAAGACGGACAGGCCGCGGGAGUACAUCCCGGUAGGGUUAUCGACCAACCACGCUGGCUGGGACUCCCAGUGGUUUUACCUACGGAACGACGACAACCUCCUGCCUUCCUACUCGGGUCGUCUGAUCAUUGAGCGUCUAGCGGACUGGACAUACGGCGUUGUCCAAGCUCAUCAAUCUCGGCUCGACCCCCUCCUCGACGCCCUGAAGAAGCUUCGCCAGGAGGGUUUGACCGCCGCUCUCAUCCUCUCGGCCGUCCAUCACCGGAGAGUUCUCCCAUUGAUGUCUCGACCGUUGAGGAUGGACGAGAUGGGCCCUGGCGUCUCAUCUCGGGACCUCGAGGCGUGCCGGAUGUCCAACGAGGCUCCGGCGGACGACGAAGUCGCGGCCCGAGUCAGGGCUGCAAUUGCCGGUGAUUUUCAGCCGGAUCAUGUUAACGGCUUCCCCAUGAGGCCAGAUGCAGGCUCGAUCGAUCUGGUACGCUUUCUUCUCGUGCGCAGCCUAGAUUAUGGGUUUCCUUUCCCCCCCUUUUUUUUUAAGUCUGCCUUUGUUUUGGCAGGGACGGAUUGAUGUCCGGUCCUCGAGGCCUCCGGUAAAGGAGGACGAGGUCGAUCGCGACAAACGGCGUCAAUCCACCGAAAAGCUAAAGUCCGCCAAGGACUCUGCAAAGAAGGGGGAGAAGAAGAAGAACCUCGACCGCCAAGCAUUAGAGGCGCGUCGAGCCAAAUCUAGGCAGAGGGGGGAGCCAGAGGAAGGAUCCCCCAACGACGACGAUGAUGACGACGAGGACAGCGACGACUCUGAGGGGAUGGCGUCACGCCUUGACCGAAUCCUCGAGGGUCCGCCUCAAGGCGACGUCGACGCCCCCCAGGCGGAGACUCCAAAGGAGGGUCCGAGCGGAUCUCACCGCCCUCGGGCCGACACCCCUCCUGCGCCCAAGGCUGGUCAAGUCGCACCGCGCCCUCCCCCGGCGCCCAGGGAGAGUGGUCAUGCUAGGCCCCAGGCGACGGGGCCACUGACUCGCGGUCGCGCCGCGGCCUCCGAGAAAGGAGAGGCCGGCCGUAGGAGCGCCAGUCCCGGCGUCCACCAGGCGGGAACUGCCGCGCCAAGGCCAGCGCCUGCCUUCGAGGGGCCUGGGGCCCUGACGCGGGGUGGCUCGAGGCCCGCCGGUCGGGGCGGCGGGAGGCGAGCUAUUCUCCCUGUGGGGUAAGCUUUUUCGACGUUGUGGCUUUUGUCUUCCUGCUCCUUCUCCGGCGCUCAUCCCUUUCUUUUCUCAGGCUAAAGCGGACCCUCGAGCAGGCCCAGCCGUCCAUGGCAAAGAGGCUCAAAGCGGGAGCCGCCUCCAAGGAGCCAGGUUUGUGGUUUACUUUCGGGAUUUGUGACAUUCUUGCGCUAGCCAUCGUAGUCACCGGCCUUUAUUCUUUGUUUUGUAGGCUCCUCCGACUCCCAACCUCCAGCCAGCAUUGAGAGUGCUCCGCCUCGUCCCGUGCCUACCCCGUCGCCGCCGACGUGUGGUGAGGUGCCCCAGACGCAAGUGCCAGAGGGAGCCCCCGAGCCUCCUCGAUUGGAGGUCGAGGGGGAACCCAUCACCAUCAGCGAUACGUCUGAUGGUAACGAAGCGUCUGGGGGUGCCCGCCCUAUGGAGGAGGAAACGUCGACCUCCCACAUCGCGAGAUGGACUCCCUGGCCCGCUGGCCUUCGAGCCCUUGAAGAGCAAAGGGAGAAGGAGAAGGAGGAGGAGGAGCGGGAGCGUGGGGCAACGCAGCAGCCUCAGGAGGAGCAGCGGCAGCUGCAGCAGAUGCUCGAGGGGCAGCAGCAGCAGGAGGAGUAGGAACAACAGCAGGGGGGUCAAGAGGAAAGGCCGCUCGAGCCCCCGCCUCAAGGUCUGGCUCAACCGGUACCACCGGCGCCGCAGGAGCCCGGUGAGCAGGAGGAAAAUUUGCCGGUGUAUGGCCCUCCAACCCCGGCGUGGCUCCUCCCGGGGGCGCCUGCCGCGAUCCGGGCAGAGUCUGGGCGAGCGGACGGAGUGGUGGCGCUUGCCUGUAUGAUGCGCACCCCCACCGACCCUGAGUCCGAGAUCAAGAGGACGAUCUACGGCAUGGACGGGAUCGCUCCAGGGUUCCUCCGGGAGCGUCGGGCGUGGGAGGACCGCUUUCCCUCUGAGGAGGAUGAGAUCGGGACGUCGGGAACCAAGGACGGUACAUGGAAGACGGUGGAUCACGACGGGCGGUUCCCGUGCCUUGUCGACCUGUUCCUGCGCCACGGGGGCUCCCUCGAGACCGUCGAGAACCUUAUCCGCGGUGUCAAGGCUCGGGCUGAUCGGGAGAUGGAGAACUGGUGCCCCGAUCGGAUUCGUAUCCGGGCUUCCACCGAUCCGUCCGAGCCCAACAUCUUCCUCGACGACAAGAAAGAGGCCGAGAAGUGGGAACAUGUCGAGGAGCUCCGCCUUUGGAUGAAGCACGUGGUGGGGCUCCUGUCGGACAUCAUCAAAAAUGGGCUCGGACCAGCUUAUUUCAUAAGUGUUUUUCAAUCUUUAGUCCUCGUGGAGCUUUUUGGUUUUGUAUUCUGACUGUUCGACCGCCGGCUCACAGGACAUGAAGGAAACCUCCUGCAUCAAGUCGAGCUUUAUUCACGCCACAAGGGGCGGCUGGGAGCAGCUCCCCGUCCUCAAGGACCAACUCCUCGAGUCGCAGGAGAAGCUCCUCAAGGCUUAUAAAGACCUUAUAGCGCUCGAGGAGGAGCAGAAGGCGAGGGAGGCUGCUUUGGCCGAGGCUCGAGAGGCCUCAAGAAAGGCGGAGGAGGAGACGACGCUGCUGCGGGAGCGGGCUCUGACGGUCGAGGAGGCCGCGUCUAGAGCCCGGGAGGAGGCCCUGUCCUACAAGAGCGUUAUCGCGGACCUGGACAAAGAGAAGGGCCUUCUCAAAACCGACCUGGACUCUCUCCGAGAGUCCUUCUAGAAGAUGAAGGUGGAGCACGUGAACGGCGAGAUCGCUAGGAGCGCCGCGGAGGAAGCCAAGAGGAAGGCCCUCGAAGAUCUCGAGGCGGAGCGGGCUCAAUCCCACAGGCUCUCUGACGACGUCGAACGUCUGAAGGGAGAGCUAUUGGAGAAGAGCGGGGCCAUUGCUCAGGCUGGCAAGGCGAUCGAGGACCUCCGUGUUGCCAACACCGAGCUGGCACGCUCCAACAGAGAGAUCGAGAGGGCCAACACCAGGCUGGUCUGCGAGAACACGGCCCUGGAGGAGACCGUCCGCGGUACGUUUCCUCUGUCAGAUUUCUUUUUUCGAGGUGUGCUUGGUUUUUCCUAAGGUUUCUUGUAUUGGCAUUUACAGGACUUAAGGACGAACUCCUAGCAGCCCAAGACGAGUCGAGGGAGGGACCUCGAGGCGACGCACUGGUCGACCAGCUGUGCUACUUGGGCGCGACGCUGAGAGACCGAGUGCGGGACGCCCUCCACAUCGGGGUGAAGCGGGCGAUGGUAGUUGUCUGCUCGGGCUUCUCCUAUGACAUGGAGGUGGUGUCCCAAGGCUUCGUCACCGACAUCUCCAAGACCGACGCGGAGAACGAAGAGAGGCUCCACGCCUUGAUCGACGACGCGGAGGCUCCUGGAGAGAGGCUGGCCAAGCUUUUUGAGCCUGAGGUGCUUCCUCCUGAGACUAGCUCGGGCGGAGGCGAGGGUGGUGAGGAUCGUUCUCUGGACUGAGGCAAGCGAGCCUGCUCAGGGUGCCCGGGGCUCCUUGUAUAAUACUUUGUUAAUCCUGUUGUUAAGCGAUACAGUAUCUUUUUGUAAUUGUUAAAUGCUUAUUUGUCUUUCCGCUCGAGGUUCUUUUAUUUCUCUUUGUUCCUACGUUUGUGUUCCUUGUUCGAUCUUUCGUAAAAAACAGCCUCGAUCGCCUCAAGGGUGAGGAAGUGAGUAGAAUUUCCGUAGCCCGGGGGCGUAGGAGUUCUCAGGCUCGUUGUCCCUCGGCCUUUGAGGGGCUCGAGGUGCCUUAGCUACUCGAAUCGUGCAAGGUUUACUAAGUAGGAAGAGAAAAUUUCUUGGCUUUUUCGACGCACGGGGGGGGGGGGGGGUCGUCCCCCUGGUAGCCCCUGAGUGGGUGUUGACUAUGAUGGGUCAUAGUCAGCGCCCCCUUUUAACGUCGAGAUUAUGACUUGUAAAUCCUUGGUGCAAAAAGAAGUUGCUCGAGGGAAAGACUUCGUUUAUUCAUUCAUUCGUUUACAAAGUCUUGGUACAAAAUGUAAGCAGGAACAUAAGUUUAGAACUUCUAGGGGUAGAAUCGACGUAGCUGUUCAAUGUUCCAUGCGUUGGUGAAGAUCGCUCAAUUCUCAUCCGCUAACUUGUAUGUCCCUGGCUUCAGGACCUCGGCCACCACAUACGGGCCCUCCCAAGGUGGAGUCAGCUUGUGGCGUCCUUGAUUGCUUUGCCGGCGUCGUAGGACAAGGCCGCCCACGUUGAGGUCCCUCUUGCGCACAUGCUUGUCGUGGUAGCGUCGAAGUUUCUGCUGAUAUCUGGCAGAGUUGAAGAUGGCCAUGUCUCGAGCCUCCUCGAGCUGGUCGACCGCGUUUUCUUGAGUCUCCUUAUUUGAUUGCUCGUUGUAUGCUUUGAGUCGGGGUGACCCAUACUCGAGGUCUGUGGGGAGGACAGCCUCAAAACCGUAGACCAUGAAGAAUGGGGUGUACUUUGUGGCCCUUCUUGGUGUUGUCCUUAGACUCCAUAGGACCGAGGAAAGCUCCUCGACCCAUUUCUAGCCAAAUUUCUUCAAACGAUUGUAAAUCCUUGGCUUGAGUCCUUGCAAAAUCAUGCCGUUGGCACGCUCGACCUGGCCGUUAGUUCGAGGGUGGGCUACUGCGGACCAGUUCACACGGAUGUGAUGCGGAUCGCAAAAGUCCAAGAACUUUUUGCCGGUGAACUGAGUGCCAUUGUCGGUGAUGAUGACGUUGGGAAUCCCAAACCGAUGGAUGAUGUCGGUGAAGAAAAGGACGGCCUAUUCGGAGCGGAUGUUGGUGAUGGGUCGAGCCUCGAUCCAUUUGGAGAACUUGUCAAUGGCCACCAACAAGUGGGUGUACCCUCCUUUCGCCUUUUGUAGAGGUCCUACUAAAUCGAGCCCCCACACCGCAAACGGCCAGGUGAUGGGGAUCAUCUGAAGAGCGUGGGCGGGCAGAUGCGUCUGCUUGGCGUAGAACUGGCAUCCGUGACAUGAGCGUACGAGCUCGAUGGCAUCUGCCACGGCCGUCGGCCAGUAGAAACCUUGCCGGAAAGCGUUCCCUACGAGGGUCCGUGGAGCAGCAUGGUGGCCGCAAGCCCCCGAAUGUAGGUCCUCGAGGACUUUUCGGCCUUCUUCCACUGUGAUGCAACGCUGUAGGACCCCCGUCGGGCUUUGUCGAUAUAGCUCGUUGUCUUCGCCAUAGAUCACAUAUGACUUGGUCCGUCGAGCGAUACGACGGGCCUCUGAUCGAUCUUCCGGCAGCUCACCGCGGAUUAGGCAAUCGAGGAACGGUGUGCGCCAGUCGAACGGUCGACCAGGACGCCGUUCUACCUCCAUCGCUUCAGCCGUCAUCAAGAGCGUGUCGACGGUAUGGGUUGGCUGGGUAGGAGCGGCAUCGUUGCCAGCCCCCGAGCCUAAGUCGACGGAUGGCUCGAGAAGAUCUCUUGAGAACGCAUCAGGUGGCACCGUGCCUCGGGUUGAUGCAAUCUUGGCGAGUUCGUCGGCUGCCUCGUUGUAGCGUCGGGCGACAUGGACAAGCUUGAGACCAUGGAAUUUGUCUUCGAGUCGACGGACUUCUUUGCAGUACGCCUCCAUUUUCGGGUCAUGGCAGCUCAAGGUUUUCAUUACUUGGUCGAUGACGAGUUGGGAGUCGCCUCGGACGUCGAGGCGUCGGACUCCUAGCUCGAUGGCAAUCUUGAGACCGUUGUCGAGGGCCUCAUAUUCCGCGACGUUGUUAGAUGCGGCAAAAUGAAUCGUGAUGACAUACCUCAUAUGGACGCCCAAGGGUGAGAUGAACAGCAGGCCGGCCCCGGCUCCUGUUUUCAUGAGUGACCCAUCAAAAUACAUCGUCCAUAGCUCCACCUGGACCUGAGUCGGGGGAAGCUGGGAGUCUGUCCAUUCCGCGACAAAGUCUACCAGGGCCUGCGACUUGAUGGCCUUGCGAGGCGCAUAAGUGAGAGUCUCACUCAUGAGCUCGACCGACCAUUUAGUUAUUCUUCCCAUGGCCUCAUUGCUCUAGAUUAUUUCGCCUAAGGGGAAAGACGAGACCACCGUGAUGGGGUGGCCGAGAAAGUAGUGUUGCAGCUUACGGCGGGCAAGGAUUACGGCGUAGAUCAGCUUCUGGAUUUGGGGGUAACGUGCCUUGGUCUCCGAAAGCACUUCGCUGACGAAAUAGACUGGCCUCUGGACUGGUAGCGCAUGUCCCUCCUCCUGCCUUUCGACCACCACCGCUGUGCAGACGACCUAGGUCGUCGACGCAACGUAGAGGAGCAGCGGUUCUGCAGGUUGAGGUGGGACCAGGACUGGUGCUGAGGUCAGCGUCUUCUUCAGCUUUUCGAGCGCUUCCUCGGCCUUGGGGGUCUAAGAAAAAUGCUCGACCUUCUUCAGAAGUCGAUACAAUGGUAACGCCUUUUCUCCUAGUCUUGAGAUGAAACGGCUCAGAGCCGCCAGGCAUCCCGUGACUCUUUGCACACCCUUGAUGUCCCGGAUUGGCCCCAUUCUUGUGAUGGCCGAGACUUUCUCGGGGUUGGCCUCGAUGCCGCGCUGUGAAACAAUGUAGCCCAAGAGCAUGCCUCGAGGCACGCCGAAAACGCAUUUCUCGGGAUUGAGCUUGAUCUGGUUGGCGCGUAAACAGCUAAAAGCGAUCUCGAGGUCCUGGAUCAGGUCCCCUCGCCGCUUUGACUUGACGACAAUGUCGUCGACAUAGGCCUCGACUGUCGACCCUAUGUGUCCACCAAAUACGUGGAGCAUGCAGCGUUGGUAUGUAGCUCCCGCAUUUCGAAGCCCAAACGGCAUGGUCACAUAGCAAUACAUCCCAAAAGGUGUGAUGAAAGAGGUCGCGAGCUGGUCGGACUCCUUCAUUUUUAUUUGGUGGUAACCAGAAUAUGAAUCAAGGAAAGAAAGGGUUUCACAUCCCGCGGUAGAAUCGACAAUCUGAUCAAUACGUGAUAAUGGAAAAGGAACUUUCGGACAUGCUUUAUUUAGACUAGUAUAAUCGACACACAUCCUCAUUUUCCCAUUCUUUUUCUUAACUAAUACAGGGUUUGCUAACCAGUCGGGAUGAUGAACCUCCUUGAUGAAUCCGGCCGUCAAAAGCUUGUGGAUUUCCUCGCCAAUGAUCUUGCGCUUCUCAUCGAAUCGGCGCAACCGCUGCUUCACUGGCUUGGAACCGGCUCGAAUCUCCAAGGAGUGCUCGGCGACUUCCCUCGGUAUGCCUGGCAUGUCCGAGGGACUCCAUGCAAACAUGUCGGCAUUCGCAUGGAGAAAGUCGACGAGCACAGCUUCCUAUUUGGGGUCGAGGUCGGCGCUGAUCAUCAGCACCUUGCCGUCGGAGUUGUUGGGGUCGAGUGGGAUCUUCUUGGUUCCCUCAGCCGCCUCAAAGCUGCUGUUGGGUAUUCUUAACAUCAUUACCAAAAGUAGACUAAGUUCUCUAAAUCUAGUAACGGUGCCAAAAAUGCCAAACCUAUCCCUCACACCACUUAAGCCAAGUUGUCAUCCCCAGCAUGAUAUGAGACACGCGGUAUUGAAAUAUGCAAUUGCUCUUCUAAAUAAAUAAUGAAUGGGAUCUACAAGCGCACAGAUUAAUACCGAUGCAGCAUUUUAACCAGGAAGUAUUCUAGGUAUCGUUAUUUAUAUUUUUACCACUGGGAAGGGAUUAGCAAUCAUCAAUAUUGAUUACAGAAUAGAAUAUGAGAUUGAGCAUCUAUCAUUGCAUGUAUAAUUGAGAACAUUAUAUCUAACACUUCAUACAGGGAUAAGUGUCACAUAAAAGAUAUAUGAAGUAAUAAUAGUGACAAGGAUAACUAAUCUGAUCUAGCCACAUAAUAAAUAUGAUAAGCACCUCAAUUAGAUACUCUAGAAAGUCAUUAGCAUGGUAUUAGAACGAACUACAAGAAUAUUCCCUAAGUUAUUCUCAACUAUAUAGUCUAGCAUUAUCAUAGUUAGUGCAAGCAUACUUAGCAAUCAUUGUGAGACAAGACUACGCCCAUGCAUAGUGAUAUUAGCAAGGAAUAUGAGAAACAUAGCAAUCACUCCCCUGUAAUAAUGUUGCUCUGCCAGCCCAAUACACGAGAGAGGGACUAUAUAAGAAUCAAUGAAGCUGUCACUGUCACGAACCACCCCACGAUCUGGCAUAUUGGGUACAAUCGCAGAUAAAUACGGUAUAAGCACCACGCCUAGACAAUAUCUAUCAUUUCCCCAUGGAUCCGAUGGAUAAACGCUAUACGAUCCUAAGCAUGUAUAUAGAUCGUAUCUAACUAAGCCAAGUACAGAACUAUGAUAAACUAAGAACAAUAUAAUCUUGAAUAUAAGCAAGUAGAGCAAAGUCAUAAGCAAUAUAUUGAAGUAGAACAAAGUCAUAUUCAUAAUAUUGAAGAACAAAGAUAAUUAGAAAGCAAUUAGAAGCACAAUUAGAGAAUUACCAAGAAUCCUCUUGACAGAUCCGGAAACCAAUCGAAGAUUGACUCCUUCUAGUUCUAAUCCUAUGUAGCUAUGCUAAUCUAGAUGUCUAAUUGAUGUGGUGGCUCUAAUCUUGAUCAGAGGCUUCUUCUCCCUUGAUGGAACAAUGAAUUAGGGUUCAGAGGCUCUCUCCUCUAGGGGCCAGGGGGUCUGGUUUUAUAGUCCCUUCAAGUGAAUUUGGGCCCUUGGAUCAAACCGACAUAGAUUGUAUGGUUUAGAUUCAUCCUUUAGGUCAGUGGAGAUCUGCCGCAAAGCAGAGUCCUGUUUGGACUCCAACAGGGGGCGGGCGCCCAGUAGGACAGUAUGAUUCUCUCAGGUCUCUCUUUUGUGGUAUUUUUGGAUCCUUACCAAGGCAUUGAUGGUAUAUGCCUUCUCUCAAGAUAUGUAGUAUUUGUGGUAUAAGGCAUAGUGACAUUGCCUUCUCUCUCACCCUACUCUAAUAAGGCUUUAAUAUCUGGAGCUCAUAGGUGGGAGAUAAAAUAUACAUACUUACAAGACAUUUAUUGCAUAGUCAAACCAUGGAUCCAAAGUAACAAGCCAAUAAGUUUAAUCAAGAUGUGCAUGGGUGGCGAAUGAAUGGUGUAUGGUGGUGAUGGUGAUAACAAUGGUGAAAACAAUGGUGGUGGAAGUCUAAUUCUACUUUGCUCUUUUGAGGGGAUACAUACCUUCCUUGCUAUUGAAACUUUAUGAGGAGAAUGAGAUGCUCUUCUUUUUUUUCAUUUUUUUUCAGGUGGGUAUCUUGCACCUCUAAUUCUACUGUCGGACACUUGUCCAUUUUUACCUCUCGUCUCACUUUUUCUUUUCUUUCGAGGUUCCGAGCACUUGCUCCUUUUUAUUUCCUCGUAUAUUUUUUUUAGAGCACUCAUCUCUUGAGAUAAUAUAGCAAGUGGUAGUAACAAGAUAACUUGAGCAUUUAUUUCACAAGGGGAAAACAGAAAUAUUUUUGGUUAUUCUCUCCCGGAUUAGGAGUAGAAUAUUUUUGGGUGAGUCUAGAGAUGGAAUGGGUGGAUAUAUGUGGAUGGUACUUCCGGAGUAGAAGUAGCAUAUAUGAGUGAACGUGCAAGUGAAUCUUGAUUUAACCACAUGACAAGUUCCUAAGGGUCUACACAGCUUGACCACACUCAAUGCUCAUAAGCAGUAAAUAUUAAAUGUGUGGCUCAAAGUCUAGCAAGCAUGUAUAUAUGGCUGUGGUAGGAAUUUAAACUCUCAUCAUACAGGAACUCAUCAUGCAACAUUUUAAAGAUUUUCAAAGAUAAAAUUCUCCAGAAUUCUAGCAUCUCUAGGAACAGAUAAACAACAGCUCAACCUUCCCAUAUCAUAUCCGUUAACAACUUAGACUUCAGAUCAAGUUUUCAUCCCACAAGUUUAGGUCUAGAGCAAGCUUUAAAUUAUAACAGUUAUAUCUAAACUUGAGAGAGAACUUAAAAUGUGCAAAUUAGGCAGAGCAACUAUUCAUCAUAUCCAUGCUUAAGUUUUAUUUAGAUACAGAUUAGCAUAGCCACUUUAUUUAUUUAUUAAACAUACUAAGCAAAAGAUAUAUAUAAGUAUAAAAUCUUUAUUUGGUUUUUCAUAGUUUAUGUAUUUUAAUAUUCUAAAAUAAUAUAAGUAUAAAGAUAGAUAGAAAUACUUAUCGAGAUAAAUGGGGGUGCUCUCCCCCAAGCUGAAUUUUGACGUAAUUUCUCUUGAUGUAGCUAGCAGGUAGCAGAGGUGUAUUUGAAAGUCAGCAGCAUUCUGACAGCGAUUAGAAUGUCCUCCGUCUGCUAGUCUUCUUGAUUCUUAAAUUCUGUGGAGCUCAAAUAGACAACAAAGCUUGUGGAACUGAUUAAGUGUUAGCAUAAAUAUCUAGCCUUUAUGAUCUUGAGACUCCUAAAUAAAUAUUACUCUCUGUUUUUAUAUUUUUAUUUUAUAAAGCAGAAAAAUAUUUAUUUUUAUUUUUAUGCCACCACAGUGAAUGUACUUAUGGGUUUUAUGCCACUCGUAUACUCACAUGGGGCUUACAGUUUUUAACAUUUUUAUUUUCUUUUUUAAGAUAGUGUGAAUAUGAUUGACUAAGUAAACUAUUUGAAAUAACUGAAAGGGAAAGGAUAACUACCAAGUUUACCUCUUGGCAAGGCGUUCGGUGUUUUUAAGUCCGCCGAACGGGACUCUCCAAUUUCUUAAUCGUCCUGAGGUUCGUUGGGUGGCGUAGUCGGUACUUCCGGCAGCGCCUCCUCUUCUUGUAUAGUUAUCUUCAUUUUCCAUACCUGACUCGGUGCUUCAAUCUCCUCUGGAUAAUUCUGUUUAAAUUCAACGUCUUCUGACCUUACAACUUCUCCUUCAUAGUCUGCCCAUCCGUCCUUGAUGAUCUGCCUCCUCUGGUUGCGGUUGCGUCUUUUUCUGACCUGCUUAGAUUCUUCAAUGAUAUAGUUAGGGUCAGUAAAAUAACGGCGUACCUUCUCUGAGGGGAAGUGCAUAUGGACUUCUCCGGUUCCAAUGUAGAUAAUUGCUUUAACGGUGCUGAGGAAUGGUCUUCCAAGGAUGAUGGGUGGAUCAUACUCGUCUUCUCCCAUGUCAACAACUUGAAAGUCUGUGUAGACAAAGUGAUCGUCUAUUUUGACUGGGACAUCAGAUACUAUUCCUUUAACUUCUCGAAAUGUCUGAUCUGCCAUCUGGAGCUGAAUGUAUGUUGGUCAUAGUGGCAUGGUCCCGAACAAGAGCCGAUAAGUGACUGCGGCCAUUAUGUUGACGCCUGAUCCGGUGUCGCAAAUCGUCUUGUAGAAGUUGUAUCCAUUUAUGGAGCAGUAAAUGCUUGGCAUUCCUGGGUCGUCCUUCUUGGUCAAAAACGGUGACUUAAGUUGGUGAUCUUGGCCUCCAUGGACUACAGUGACCAUCUUAGCUGACUCGGUCCACACUUGCUUGUUCCUGUUUCUUCUGUUGGUCCUCUUCCUUGAUUCACGUCUGGAUUGAUCUUGAAUUUGUGUAGUCUUGUUCUUGAAGAAAAACGUCUCCUUCUUCCCUUUGACGUAGAAACGGAUCUUGGCAGCACUAGCGUAGAUGAUAGCUCCCGUGGUGUUCAAGAAUGGCCUCCCUAGGAUGAUAGGUGCUCUCUCAUCAUUUCCGGUCUCUACCACUACGAAGUCUGCUGGGGCAUACAAGGUACCAACUCGGACACAAAGGUUCCUCACUAUUCCUUUUGGGAAAGUUAUCGUCUGAUCUGCAAACUGCAAACACAUGGUUGUCUCUAAUAAAGGAUAUGUAAAGAAUUUGUCAUAGAGUACCCUGGGUAUAAUGUUGACACUGGAGCCAAAGUCACAGAGUGCUUCUGGGAUAUCCACCAUGCCGAUAGAGAUCGGGAUGACGGGGCGUCCUGGAUCGCCUCUCUUGACCGGCAGACGGUCAGUAGAAAAUUCAGUG